AGAGUUGUAUCCUGGCUCAGGACGAACGCUGGCGGCGUGCUUAACACAUGCAAGUCGAACGGUAAGGCCCUUUCGGGGGUACACGAGUGGCGAACGGGUGAGUAACACGUGGGUGAUCUGCCCUGCACUUUGGGAUAAGCCUGGGAAACUGGGUCUAAUACCGAAUACACCCUGCUGGUCGCAUGGCCUGGUGGGGGAAAGCUUUUGCGGUGUGGGAUGGGCCCGCGGCCUAUCAGCUUGUUGGUGGGGUGAUGGCCUACCAAGGCGACGACGGGUAGCCGGCCUGAGAGGGUGUCCGGCCACACUGGGACUGAGAUACGGCCCAGACUCCUACGGGAGGCAGCAGUGGGGAAUAUUGCACAAUGGGCGCAAGCCUGAUGCAGCGACGCCGCGUGAGGGAUGACGGCCUUCGGGUUGUAAACCUCUUUCAGCAGGGACGAAGCGCAAGUGACGGUACCUGUAGAAGAAGCACCGGCCAACUACGUGCCAGCAGCCGCGGUAAUACGUAGGGUGCGAGCGUUGUCCGGAAUUACUGGGCGUAAAGAGCUCGUAGGUGGUUUGUCGCGUUGUCCGUGAAAACUCACAACUCAAUUGUGGGCGUGCGGGCGAUACGGGCAGACUGGAGUACUGCAGGGGAGACUGGAAUUCCUGGUGUAGCGGUGGAAUGCGCAGAUAUCAGGAGGAACACCGGUGGCGAAGGCGGGUCUCUGGGCAGUAACUGACGCUGAGGAGCGAAAGCGUGGGGAGCGAACAGGAUUAGAUACCCUGGUAGUCCACGCCGUAAACGGUGGGUACUAGGUGUGGGUUUCCUUCCUUGGGAUCCGUGCCGUAGCUAACGCAUUAAGUACCCCGCCUGGGGAGUACGGCCGCAAGGCUAAAACUCAAAGGAAUUGACGGGGAACCCGCACAAGCGGUGGANCAUGUGGUUUANUUCGACGCAUCGCGAAAAACCUUACCUGGACUANAAUGCGAGGGAAGCUUGGCUANCNCCAAGCGUCCG
This 1000-nucleotide ribosomal RNA is filed under the name uncultured Actinomycetes bacterium. RNAcentral describes it as "bacterial SSU rRNA". It matches the Rfam family "Bacterial small subunit ribosomal RNA", at positions 8 to 1018 of the family's 1533-position model. Lineage: Bacteria; Bacillati; Actinomycetota; Actinomycetes. The record is from RNAcentral.